ACGGUGAGUAACGCGUGAGUAACCUGCCUUACACAGGGGGAUAGCCGUUGGAAACGACGAAUAAUACCCUAUGAUGUUUCUAUCUCGCAUGAGAUAUUAACCAAAGUGUUAGCGGUGUAAGAUGGACUUGCGUCUGAUUAGCUAGUUGGUGAGAAAAAAGCCCACCAAGGCAACGAUCAGUAGCCGGCUUGAGAGAGUGUACGGCCACAUUGGGACUGAGACACGGCCCAG
This 231-nucleotide ribosomal RNA is filed under the name uncultured Eubacteriales bacterium. RNAcentral's name for it is "uncultured Clostridiales bacterium partial 16S ribosomal RNA". It matches the Rfam family "Bacterial small subunit ribosomal RNA", at positions 105 to 334 of the family's 1533-position model. Lineage: Bacteria; Bacillati; Bacillota; Clostridia; Eubacteriales. The record is from RNAcentral.